Molecule: long non-coding RNA, 1222 nt
Organism: Ctenopharyngodon idella (grass carp)
Lineage: Eukaryota; Metazoa; Chordata; Actinopteri; Cypriniformes; Xenocyprididae
Exons: 4
Source: RefSeq, a predicted model, not a curated record
CUUUCUCCCAUUCAAAACAAUACGAGUUGACACGUCUUCUGUUAUUCUAUAGUCUUUGUUAUAACAUUACAAACUUUUAUUUGAAGCAAAGAAAAUCUGACAAAAAGACAAGAGUACAAGACUGUGCACUUAGCUGAGAUCUGCCUCCAUCCAAUCAACAACCCAUGUGGAUAUACGUCACUACAGAGAAGAAAAAAUCUGUCUCUACUUCCUUUACAACGCAACUUAAAAGAGGGUGUGGAAGAGUGAGAGGAAGAGAUGCUCCAGCUCUGUGGGAGGCAGAACGCCUGAGGGUCUGGGCCUGUGGCUCACGGUGAGGCGUGAAUGAGCAAACCCAAUGAGCUGCUGCAGUGGAGGAAGACACGUCACCAUCGCUGUGGAGAUCUCCACCUUAACCGACCCUCACAACUGUACAUAAUAAUACACCUCCAAACCAUAACACACAGUAUCUGCCAGCUGUUUCAUAAAUUGCGUUUCCAUUGCUGUAUGGAAAAGAUGCACUGCUGUUCUCCAUACAAUGAUCAGGAGCUGUCAAGCAAAGUAAAAUAAAAAUCAUUUAAAUAACUGAAAUUAUUUAUUUAUUUGUAUUUUUAAUUUUCAUUGUAUUUUACAUAAUAGCCAAUCAAUUGUUGUAGUGUGAUAAUUGUUGAUAUGUCCCAAAAAGCAGACAAAAUGGUUCUGGAUAUCAGUGUUAAUUGUACAUAAAAAUAUAAGUCAUCUCUAUUACACACUAAUUAACUUUGUAGAAGCACUCAUACGAGAACAUGUCAGUAUGUUUUUAAUUUCAAUAUCAAAUAAAGCAGAAAAAAAAAAUAAAACCUCUCUCUUUCCCUGUCACUUUCCAACUCUGUUUUUUUUUUUUCUUUUUCUCAAGCGUAGAGCUCGCAUUAACAGAAUCUCGGAUAAAUGCAACUUGAGAAUCUCAGUUAAAUAAAUGGUACCUCUCACGCGCUCACACUCUCCCACCAUCAACCCCCCCAACACACUCACACAAUCACACACAAGUACACACAAACGCACACACGCGCACGCAAGCACACCCGCAGAAACAGAUUAAGCUCAAAUCAAUGGCUGGAGCUGAAGCGGAGGAGAGAUUUCACCCUGGCUUCUCGUUAAGGCCUGGCUGAGGCGCGGAGGCUCGGGGGAGUGUUAUUACCAGGGUGAUGGUUGAUAAGACGCUCGUUCCUCCACGCCGCGUCCCGCGGGACAGAUACAUCGCGCA